GAAUUGUGCAGUUUCCACAGAAAAGGCGCGAGGAUCAAUCGAGAGGGAGAGGGAGAGGGAGAGGGAGAGGGAGAAGGAGAGAAAGAGAGAGAUCGACGACUUCAAAAGAGAGUUGCAGAAACGAGCUCCGAACUGCAAUUCGUCAACUCAGCGACCGUUGCCUCUACUCUGCUGCCAAAUGGGCAGCGGAGCAGUUGGUGGGGAUCGAGCAGGAUCCGGCCUAAUUCACACCGUCGCACACGAGAUUCCAGCUAGGUAGUUCCAGCAUUCGCCGGAGAUUUCGCACUAAUGAGAUUGCUUCCACACCAACCGCCGGCGUAUCUUCCGUAUCUACACCAGUGCUGGAGGAGGACGAAGCCAUAGAUGGUGAUUUCUACCUUUUAGCGAAGCCGUACUUUGAUUUCCGGGAGUACCGUAGGGCUGCUCAUGUGCUUCGUGAUCAGACUGGAAAGAAAGCCGUGUUCUUACGAUGUUAUGCUCUUUAUCUGGUUCGCCUCACGCUUAUUUGGUCAUCUUUUUUGCUUCGAAUUGGUCGUUCAUUUACCGUUUCAUGGUUUUGAACUUUGAUUAUGUUGUGCGUGUGGACGCUUUCUACCCUGGCAAGGGGUAGGCAUGGAGAAGGGGGAAGUUCCAGGUUUAAUUCCAUGUCAUAGCAAAAAGAAAAAGGGAAAAAAUAUUACCUACUGAAAAAUAAAAAUAAAUAAAAAAAAACCUAGUUUUUAAUCAUCA
Vitis vinifera (wine grape) is the source of this 729-nucleotide long non-coding RNA. RefSeq lists it as uncharacterized. The record is from RefSeq and is a predicted model, not a curated record. The transcript has 2 exons. NCBI's taxonomy places the organism in Eukaryota, Viridiplantae, Streptophyta, Magnoliopsida, Vitales, Vitaceae.